RNAcentral lists this ribosomal RNA (219 nucleotides) under uncultured bacterium. RNAcentral describes it as "partial 16S ribosomal RNA". It matches the Rfam family "Bacterial small subunit ribosomal RNA", at positions 116 to 334 of the family's 1533-position model. The record is from RNAcentral.
UAUCGGAACGUGCCCAGUCGUGGGGGAUAACGUAGAGAAAUUUACGCUAAUACCGCAUACGAUCUAAGGAUGAAAGCGGGGGACUUCGCAAGAGGCCUCGCGCGAUUGGAGCGGCUGAUAUCAGAUUAGGUUGUUGGUGAGGUAAAAGCUCACCAAGCCGAUGAUCUGUAGCUGGUUUGAGAGAACGACCAGCCACACUGGGACUGAGACACGGUCCAG